This 253-nucleotide ribosomal RNA is filed under the name uncultured bacterium. Its description in RNAcentral is "partial 16S ribosomal RNA". It matches the Rfam family "Bacterial small subunit ribosomal RNA", at positions 524 to 776 of the family's 1533-position model. The record is from RNAcentral.
UACGUAGGGUGCAAGCGUUGUCCGGAAUUAUUGGGCGUAAAGAGCUCGUAGGCGGUUUGUCGCGUCUGCUGUGAAAACUCGGGGCUUAACUCCGGGCCUGCAGUCGAUACGGGCAGACUUGAGUUCGGUAGGGGAGACUGGAAUUCCUGGUGUAGCGGUGAAAUGCGCAGAUAUCAGGAGGAACACCAGUGGCGAAGGCGACUCACUGGACACAUAUUGACGCUGAGGUGCGAAAGCGUGGGGAGCAAACAGG